AGAUCUUUGCCUAGACAUGGGAGGGCGGGGAGACGGAGGAACAAAAGUGGUUUUGUUUGGUGAUGCCUACCCGGAAAGGCAGCGAGCUGUUUGCUUGUUUACAACCAAGGUGAGAGUAAAGUUAUCUACUGAGCGUCCAAAGGGGAGGGGGAGUUGGCUUCUAAGCCAGGGAUCUAUUUGUGGACUUCAAAGAGGCAUGCUCGGAUCAAGUCCCAAAGCUUUGGCAUGAUGUUUAUUAGCCAAGAGAAGUGUAUUGCAAAUUAAUACCCGGAGUGGCAUUUAUGAAUGGGGGGCGGGGGAGGGAAACUUCCCUCUUCGCUGGCAUAUUUCCAGCCAGAGGUCUUCCCUCAUCCCUCCCCCUCUUUUUUUGGUAUGUUGUACUUGUUUGUUUUUGGAGGUUCCCAUUUUUAGUUCCAGCCCACUGCCUGCAUUGGAAAUCCAAGAGGAAACGGGUGCAGAGUUCUCCCGGAGCCUGACGUCCACUUCCUCACGGAGGCCGGAGGCCGGGUCAACCCUCCUGGCCUCUCUCCCUGGACUAGCAGCGGUGGAAACUGAGCAGCCAAAGCAGAAGCGGAGGAGACCACCGUGGGGGUGAUUUGUCCUGAAAUCAUCAACGUCUCGAUCUUGCUUAAGAGAGCCUUCUGCGUUGACUGUUCUAUGAAUGACUCCAGUGAGAAGGAGGAGAAGCUGUUGCGCACACUCCAGUGAAGACAGCUGUUACUGGAAAGAGUUAAGUUCAUUCAUUCAAAAGCGCCCUUUCGUAGGUCCUAGAGGAAUUUGCUAGAGGCGGUAGGUUCUCGAAGGCUUUCUGGGGGUGGGGACUUUUAAAGACAAUGGGUUGUCAAGUGUUAUGCAAAUAAUGAAAGCAAAGCCUAGGCCUCGUCCCCUUGGCCGGCCAAUUUAUUAGUUAGAGAACAGUUCCUCCUACCUACACUUCAUUGUUUCCAUCUUAGGGAAGCACAGGAGGGUAAGGGGUGAGGGUGGAGAAGGCACUGAACAGGGUAGAAGGAGGCGCUGGAGAAACAGAAUGGAGAGGAGGGUUCCUGGCUUCUGUUGUGGCGUCUUUUCUAUUUGACUUCAUGGUUGUAAGUAUUUCCAGAUGGUGAAUCAGACACCAGACGUAACAAUAUUUCCAUAUUUGGGUAUAGCAGUAGCCUGCGUUUUUAACAUUUUUCUCUCUCUGUUAUCCAACCACAAGGCAUUCUUGACAGCUUCAAAUGUUGUUAAAUAUAGACUUAACUUCUGUUCCCAGAGCAGGAAAUUCUUUGGAAUUCCUUGUUUUUCACGCAAUUUGUCUAUCAUGAUUUAAAAUAAAGUUGCAGUGGAUGAUCCAACUGGCCUGAAUGUACUGUGUUCCUUUGCUGUGGGGAGUGGGGGGGGCAGUGGGGGGCUAGAGAUCCAGUAUACUGCACAGCGUUCAGACAGACACACCAUUCCAUAGAUGCCUUUAAAAAUCAGAUGAAAGUUUUCUAACGAGGAUGUGUGGGGUUUUGUUUCUGGACUCCAACUGGGCAAUCUCGGAGAAUGGGAUUGUCCCAGAGGAGACACUGGGAGAACAUUAGCAUCAGCUGUCCAUUUAAAGCAGCGGGUGUGUGGUGAGAAGAGGAGGGGUGCUGGAGUCGGCAAGGCCAGGAGGUGCUGGAAGAGGAGAGGCUGCUGGAACCUCUGUGCAUCGCCUCUGCAGACAGCAUGCGCUGCUUAGCCUGCUGGGAACCAGGAGGAA
Molecule: long non-coding RNA, 1723 nt
Filed under: Mus pahari (shrew mouse)
Lineage: Eukaryota; Metazoa; Chordata; Mammalia; Rodentia; Muridae
Description: lncRNA (MGP_PahariEiJ_G0005853.1)
Source: RNAcentral